This 268-nucleotide ribosomal RNA is filed under the name uncultured Thelephoraceae. RNAcentral describes it as "partial large subunit ribosomal RNA". Lineage: Eukaryota; Fungi; Basidiomycota; Agaricomycetes; Thelephorales; Thelephoraceae. The record is from RNAcentral.
ACGCUUGAAGUCAGUCGUGUCUGCCAGGACUCAGCCUUGCUUCUGCUUGGUGUACUUUCUGGUUGGAUGGGCCAACAUCAAUUUUGACCGUUGGAGAAAGGCUUCGGGAAUGUGGCACCUUCGGGUGUGUUAUAGCCCUUUGUCAUAUGCAGCGGUUGGGAUUGAGGACUGCAGCAUGCCUUUAUGGCCGGGGUUCGCCCACGUACAUGCUUAGGAUGUUGGCGUAAUGGCUUUAAGCGACCCGUCUUGAAACACGGACCAAGGAGUC